ACGGGGAGCAGCAGGCGCGAAAACUUUGCAAUACACGAAAGUGUGACAGGGCUAUCCCGAGUGCCAUCCGCUGAGGAAGGCUUUUACCCAGUCUAGAACGCUGGGGGAAUAAGGAGAGGGCAAGUCUGGUGUCAGCCGCCGCGGUAAUACCAGCUCUCCGAGUGGUGUGGAUGUUUAUUGGGCCUAAAGCAUCCGUAGCUGGCUAAGUUAGUCCCUUGUUAAAUCCACCGAAUUAAUCGUUGGAUUGCGGGGGAUACUGCUUGGCUAGGGGACGAGAGAGGCAGACGGUAUUUUUGGGGUAGGGGUGAAAUCCUAUAAUCCCAGGAAGACCACCAGUGGCGAAGGCUGUCUGCUAGAACGCGCCCGACGGUGAGGGAUGAAAGCUGGGGGAGCGAACCGGAUUAGAUACCCGGGUAGUCCCAGCUGUAAACGAUGCAAACUAGGUGUUUGAACGGCCACGUGCCGUUCUAGUGCCGCAGGGAAGCUGUUAAGUUUGCCGCCUGGGGAGUACGAUCGCAAGAUUGAAACUUAAAGGAAUUGGCGGGGGAGCAC
RNAcentral lists this ribosomal RNA (552 nucleotides) under uncultured archaeon. RNAcentral describes it as "bacterial SSU rRNA". It matches the Rfam family "Archaeal small subunit ribosomal RNA", at positions 325 to 879 of the family's 1478-position model. The record is from RNAcentral.